UCAAGCUGAAAAGAGCGCAAGGGGAAUGCCUUGGCAUCAGGAGCCGACGAAGGACGUGACAAGCUGCGAUAAGCCACGGGGAGGAGCAAAUAUCCGUUAUAUCCGUGGAUUUCCGAAUGGGGGAACCCGCUCAAGCAAUACUUGAGCAUCGUGCGUUGAAUCAAAUAGGCGUACGAAGGGAACGGCCUGAACUGAAACAUCUAAGUAGGGCCAGGAAAAGACAUCAACCGAGAUUCCGCUAGUAGUGGCGAGCGAACGCGGAGGAGGCCAAACCGAGGGACGCAAGUUCUUCGGGGUUGCGGACAGACAUCAUGACCAGAGGAAGUUAGGAGAACGGCGUGGGAAAGUCGGCCAUAGAAGGUGAGAGCCCUGUAUCUGAAAAUGAAGACUGGCAGUCUGGAUCCAGAGUACCGCGGGACACGUGAAACCCCGUGGGAAGAUGGGGGGACCAUCCUCCAAGCCUAAAUACUACCUAAUGACCGAUAGCGAAUAGUACUGUGAAGGAACGGUGAAAAGAACCCCGGGAGGGGAGUGAAAAAGAACCUGAAACCCUAUGCUUACAAGCACCGAGAGCACGUCAAAGUGUGAUCGGGUACCUUUUGUAGAAUGGUCCGGCGAGUUAUUGUAUGCGGCAAGGUUAAGUGCUUAAGGCACGGAGCCGAAGCGAGAGCAAGUCUGAAUAGGGCGAAAGAGUCGUAUGCAAUAGACCCGAAACCGAGUGACCUAUCCAUGUCCAGGCUGAAGUGGAGGUAAAACUCCAUGGAGGGCCGAACACACGUCCGUUGAAAAGGCCGGUGAUGAGGUGUGGAUAGCGGAGAAAUUCCAAUCGAACUCGGAUAUAGCUGGUUCUCUCCGAAAUAGCUUUAGGGCUAGCCUCGUGAAAGAUUACUGGAGGUAAAGCACUGAAUGGGCUAGGGGUCGAAAGAUUACUGAACCCUAUCAAACUAAGAAUGCCAGAUAAUUGAUUCACGGGAGUCAGACAAUGUGAGAUAAGUCUCAUUGUCAAAAGGGAAACAGCCCAGACCCACAGCUAAGGUCCCUAAACAUUGUUAAGUGGAAAAGGAUGUGGGGUUGCAUAAACAACCAGGAUGUUGGCUUAGAAGCAGCCACUCAUUAAAAGAGUGCGUAAUAGCUCACUGGUCGAGUGACCCUGCGCCGAAAAUUCAACGGGGCUAAACAAUGUACCGAAGCUUGGGAUUCUAAAGUAAUUUAGAGUGGUAGGAGAGCGUCGAAUAAGGGGUGAAGUCAGAGCGGAAGCGCUGGUGGACUUUAUUCGAGUGAGAAUGCCGGAAUGAGUAGCGAGAAUUAUGUGAGAAUCAUAAUGGCCGAAAAUCUAAGGUUUCCUGAGGAAGGUUCGUCCGCUCAGGGUAAGCCGGGGGCUAAGGCGAGGCGGAGACGCGUAGCCGAUGCACAUACGGUUGAAAUUCCGUAGCCACCGAAAGAUUUAAGUACAGGGACGCUUUAGAAGUGAUGUAGCCGGGCGAUGGUUGACCCGGUCGUAAGGGAUCGAAAAUGAGUAGAGAAGUCAUCAUGGAAAGAGACAAGAAAAGCUGUAUGAAUAUCUUAGGUGCCCGUACCGCAAACCGACACAGGUAGAUAGGAAGAAGAUUCUAAGGCCAACGGGAGAAGGGUUGUUAAGGAACUCGGCAAGUUGACCCCGUAACUUCGGAAUAAGGGGUGCUCAUGAAAGUGAGCCGCAGAGAAUAGGCCCAGGCAACUGUUUACCAAAAACACAGGUUUGUGCUAAAUCGAAAGAUGACGUAUACGAGCUGACGCCUGCCCGGUGCUGGAAGGUUAAGAGGAGAUGUGCAAGCAUUGAAUCGAAGCCCCAGUGAACGGCGGCCGUAACUAUAACGGUCCUAAGGUAGCGAAAUUCCUUGUCAGGUAAG
This 1889-nucleotide ribosomal RNA is filed under the name human gut metagenome. Its description in RNAcentral is "bacterial LSU rRNA". It matches the Rfam family "Bacterial large subunit ribosomal RNA", at positions 3 to 1980 of the family's 2925-position model. The record is from RNAcentral.